RNAcentral lists this long non-coding RNA (1766 nucleotides) under Calidris pugnax (ruff). Its description in RNAcentral is "lncRNA (ENSCPUG00000008987.1)". The record is from RNAcentral. Lineage: Eukaryota; Metazoa; Chordata; Aves; Charadriiformes; Scolopacidae.
NNNNNNNNNNNNNNNNNNNNNNNNNNNNNNNNNNNNNNNNNNNNNNNNNNNNNNNNNNNNNNNGCACGCUGUGGGACACCAUCAGUGCACAACCCUCAGUGGUGCACGGUGUGGGACACAUGGAUGCACAACUCUCGGUGCACGGUGCUGCACGUCAUGUGGUGCACGACUGGUGGUGCACAGUGCAGGAAACUAUCAGUGCACAACCCUCAGUGCACAGUCCUCAGUGCACAACUCUUGGUGCACGACUGGCGUGCAUGUUGUGGGACACCAUCAGUGCACAACUCCUGGUGCACGGUGCUGUACAGCCCUCGGUGCACAAGUGCUGCACGCCCCUUGGUGCACGGGGUGGGACACCCUCGGUGCACGGUGCUGUACAACUCCUGGUGCACAACCCUCAGUGCACGGUGCUGCACAACCAUUGGUGCACGACUGCUGGUACACGACAUUGCACAACCCUUGGUGCAGGACCCUCAGGGCACAACCAUCAGUGCAGGGCCUUGCACGACCCUCAGUGCACGGCAUCACACAACCCCCCUGGUGCACAACCUCUGGUGCACAGCCCUUGGUGCACAACUGUCCGUGCAGGGCCUUGCACACCCCUCAGCACACAACCCUCAGUGCACAGCCUUGCACAAGCCCUGGAGCCUGACCCCUUGGUGCACAACUGUUGGUGCACGGCGUUGCACAACCCCUGGUGCACAACUGUCUGUGCAGGGCCUUGCACACCCCUCAGCACACAACCCUCGGUGCACAGCCUUGCACAAGCCCUGGUGCAGGACCCCUCGGUGCACUACUGUUGGUGCACGGCAUUGCACAACCCCUGGUGCACAUCCCCUGGUGCACAACUGUCCGUGCAGGGCCUUGCACAUCCCUCAGUGCACAACCCUCGGUGCACAGCCUUGCACGAGCCCUGGUGCAGGAUCCCUUGGUGCACGGCGUUGCACAACCCCUGGUGCACAGCCCUUGGUGCACAACUGUCUGUGCAGGCCCUUGCACACCCCUCAGCACACAACCCUCAGUGCACAGCCUUGCACAAGCCCUGGUGCAUGACCUCUCGGUGCAUGACUGUCUGUGCAGGGCCUUGCACACCCCUUGGUGCACCACCCUCGGUGCACAGCCUUGCACAAGCCCUGGUGCAGGACCCCUUGGUGCAUGACUGUUGGUGCACGGCAUUACACAACCCCUGGUGCACAGCCCUUGGUGCACAACCAUCUGUGCAGGGCCUUGCACAACCCUCGGUGCACAGCCUUGCACGAGCCCUGGUGCAGGACCCCUCGGUGCACGACUGUUGGUGCAUGGCGUUGCACAACCCCUGGAGCACAACUGUCUGUGCAGGGCCUUGCACACCCCUGGGCGCACAACCCUCGGUGCACAGCCUUGCACAAGCCCUGGUGCACAACCCUCAGGGCACAACCGUCCAUGCAGGGCCUUGCACAAGCCCUGGUGCAGGACCCCUCGGUGCACGACUGUUGGUGCACGGCCUUGCACAACCCCUGGUGCACAGUCCUUGGUGCACAACCCUCGGUGCACAGCCUUGCACGAGCCCUGGUGCAGGACCCCUCGGGUCACAACUGUCCGUGCAGGGCCUUGCACAAGCCCUGGUGCAGGACCCCUCGGUGCAUGACUGUUGGUGCACGGCCUUGCACAACCCCUGGUGCACAACCCUUGGUGCACAACUGCCCGUGCAGGGCCUUGCACAAGCCCUGGUGCACGACUGUCGGUGCACAGCCUUGCACGACCCCCUUUAUUCCCUGCUUUGAUGG